This 83-nucleotide transfer RNA is filed under the name Candidatus Staskawiczbacteria bacterium RIFCSPHIGHO2_01_FULL_37_17. Its description in RNAcentral is "tRNA-Leu". It matches the Rfam family "tRNA". Rfam says of the family: Transfer RNA (tRNA) molecules are approximately 80 nucleotides in length. RNAcentral also lists the same sequence under 12 other names. Lineage: Bacteria; Candidatus Staskawicziibacteriota. The record is from RNAcentral.
GCCCUCGUGAUGGAACUUGGUAUACAUGUACGCUUGAGGUGCGUAUGCCGCAAGGCUUGUGGGUUCGAAUCCCACCGAGGGCA